CCAUCGCCUCUUUAAGUAAAAGCAAAGCAGAGUAUUUAUAUUAGGGUAUGUAACAGAACUCGGUUACAAGGGAAAACCGAAUACAGCAACUACUUUAACAGAAAAACCUAAUUGACUACACUUAUGACUUAGCGAUCCGAGUCAUUGAUUCUUUGAGCAUCUCGUUCAUUGAUUGUCGAUCCAGGCUGGUCUUCCUUAUAAGAUCUUUGCCGUUGAUUUACCCCUAUGACUAUGACUUAGCGAUCCAAGUCAUUUGCUGUAUCACCAAGUCCUCUGCUUUCGCUGUAUUGCCAAGUCCUCUGUUUCCAUUUUUCUGCAGCAUAUUUUGUUCCUUUAUACUUAACAUCCCCCCGCAAAUUGGGAAGGGGGAUGAAUCCCAUUCCCAAUUUGGUGCGAAGAGACAGAUGAGCUGAGUGAAAGAGGGACUUAGUGAAUAUGUCAGCUACUUGAAGAUGACUGGGAACAUGUUGGAUAGAAAUGGAACCAGACGACACCUUUUCACGAACAAAAUGGAAGUCAACUUCUAUGUGCUUUGUUCGCGCAUGUAAGACAGGAUUGGCUGUGAGGGAAAUAGCUGAUUUAUUAUCACAAAACAAUGAUGUAGCUUUUGUAAGAGGAAUACCAAUGUCACGUAGAACAAAACCAAUCCAAGUUAAUUCAGCUGUUGUAGAUGCUAGAGCCCGAUAUUCAGCUUCUGUGGAAGACUUUGAAACAGUAGUUUGUUUCUUGGCUGACCAGGAAAUCAAGUUAGAACCUAAGAAAGUGCAGAAUCCUAUAGUAGAUCGUCGAGUAGUAGGACAACCUGCCCAAUCAACAUCUGAAAAACCAUAGAGAUUUGUCAAACUGUUGGAGUGAAGAUAAUAUCCAAGAUGAACAGUUCCUUUUACAUAUCGUAAAACUCGUUUUAAUUGAUGAAAGUCUGCCAUUGUGGGAUGUUGCAUCUUCUGACAGAGGAGAUUUGUUGCAAAUGCUAGAUCUGGUCGAGUGAUAGUUAAGUAUUGAAGACCACCUACCAAGCUUCUGUAUUCAAUAGGAUCUAGCAUAGGGACUUCAGCAUUGGUCAUAGCAAUUGGCCGUAGUGGCAAAGGUGUGGAAAUUGGUUUGCAAUCUAUCAUAUGUGCCCGUUUGAGUAGGUCAACUGCAUAUUUUGUUUGACAUAAGAACAAGGUCUGUAGAGUACGUUUCACUUCAAUGCCUAAGAAGUAGUGAAUAUAGCUGAGAUCUUUCAUUUGAAAUUGAAGACUAAGAUUCUGGAUUAAUGUAGUUAAGAGCUGAGGAGAGCUUCUUGUUAGAAUGAUAUCAUCAACAUAAAGAAGUAAUAAUACUGUAUCCGACUCAGUAUGGAGCACGAACAAAGAUGGAUCGGCUGUACUACAGACAAAACCAAUUUCAAGAAGAUAGUUGCUGAAUUUGUCAAACCAGGCUCUUGGUGCUUGUCGAAGUCCAUAUAAUGACUUGUGAAGAAGACAGACAUGGCUUGAUUUUUGAGGAUGAAUGAAGCCAGGUGGAUGUUCCAUAUAAACAGUUUCAUUUAAGUCUCCAUGAAGAAAUGCAUUCUUCACAUCAAGUUGGUGUAUUGUCCAUUGUCUUGUGAGAGCUAUAGAGAGUACUAUGCAUAUUGUAGCAUGUUUGACAACAGGACUGAAUGUCUCAGUAAAAUCAAGUCCUGCUUCCUGAUGGAAUCCUUUGGCUACCAGACGAGCCUUGAGUCUCUCUAGACUACCAUCUGGUGCGAGUUUGGUCUUAAAGACCCACUUACAGCCUACAACAUUCAUCUAGUCUGUUCUUGGAACUAAUGUCCAGGUAUGAUUAUUAUAGAGAGCAUUCAUCUCUUCUUGCAUUGCAUUGUACCAACCCUUAUCAGCUAAUGCAGACUUAAUGGAUCUUGGUUCCAUAGGGACUCGAUAUUCAGCCAAGCAAGCAUAUUUUGGAUUUGGCUUAAUAAUACAUGAUCUGAGUCGGGUCUGCAUAGGAUGAUUACUAAAAUUUCUCUGAGAAGAAGAUAGAUCAAGAGUAUGUUGUUCUAUGUCAGGAGAAGAUAGUUCAAGAGUAUGUUGUUCUGUGUCAGAACUAUUAUUGACAAGCAGAGUACUUGAGAAGGAUGAAGAAUUCUGACCAGAUCGAGUUUCUGUGAUAGCAUCAUUUUGCCUUGAUGUUAGUGGAGUAUCUUGGAGCUGCAUUGAUGCUGAUGAAGUAUGUUGGUGCAUCUGUUCACUGUCAUAACUAUCCAUAGUAGGAUGAUAGUGACUUCUUCUUACUGACUGAUGGGAAACACUUUGAUUUGUUGUGUCAGAGCUUGAGGAUUCGAGCAAUUUUACUCAUUCAAUCCAUUGUCUAUACAAAGGAGUAUAUUGACCAUAUUCAUUGAUCACAGUUUUUGUGAAGGGAAACAACGUUUCAUCGAAGAUAACAUGUCUACUGAUAUAUAUACGAUUAUCAGUAGGCACAAGACAUCUAUAGCCUUUAUGCAUAUCACUAUAUCCUAGAAAAACACAAGUAAGGGAUCUAGGAUCGAACUUGUGUUUUGAAUAUGAUCUUAAGCAUGGAUAACAGGCACAGCCAAACACCCUCAAAUGAUCAUAUUGUGACUGAGUGUUAUGAAUCUUACUAUAUGGUGUAUCCAUUUUUAGUUUUGGUGUUGGAAGUCUGUUUAUAAUGUAGUUUGCCGUAACAAAAGCAUCCACCCAAAACUUCAGUGGGAGCUUGGAGUGAUAUAACACAGCCAAUCCCAAUUCGACAAUAUAUCUAUGUUUCCUUUCUGAGACUCCAUUCUGUUCGGGAGUGUGAGGACAAGAUAGAUGUUGUUUUAUUCCACAGCUUUGCAGAUGAUCUUGAAAUCUUCUACUUACAAACUCUCCCCCUCCAUCACUUUGGAAAAUUUUGAUCUUGUGACUGUAUUGUCUUUCAAUUAACGUCUGGAAUCGAAUAAAGAUAUCAAAGAACUCAGAUUUCAACUUCAUUGGAUAUAACCAACUGUAUCGUGAGAAACUGUCAACAAAAAUCACAUAGUAUCUAAACUUUUGAAAUGAAUCUACUGGUGACGGCCCCCAAAUAUCACAAUGGAUCAUUUCUAAUGAUGAAGUUGAUAUAGAGUUUGACAAAGGAAAUGAUAGAGCUGUACUUUUUGCUAUUUGACAGCUGCUGCAAAUUUUUGAAGGAACUGAAUUAACAUGAAUCAGUUUAUGAUGAUGUAGAUAAUCCACUAUUUGAGUAUUGGCAUGAGCCAGUCUUUGGUGCCAUACUUCUGCAUUGACUGUUCUCUGACUUUGAGUGAAAAAGGCUGCUGCAGUCCGUGUAUCGACUUGAUAAAGGCCCUUAGUCUUCCUUCCGAGCUGAAUUGUCGCCUUGGUAUUGUUGUCCUUUACAUAAACACCAAGUUUAUCAAAGAUAAAUGUGCAAGGAUAGUCAUCAGUAAGCUUAGACACAGAAAGAAGAUUCUUCUUUAUUUAUGGUACUAUAAGAACAUCGUUAAGAGGUAAUGUAUUUACUUCUGUUUUUAGGUAAGUGUUACCAAUAUGUGUAACAGGUAAACAAGAUCCAUUUCCAACCAUCACUGUAUCGAGACCUUGAUAUUUAGAAAAAGUAUGAAGGAUACCAGGAUUCGCACUGAUAUGAGCAGUAGCUCCUGUAUCAGGGUACCAUUCACUUCCUUUUGGAUCUUCGAUAUGAAUUGCUGUCAGGGCUGCUGGAAUAUCCUCUACUUGAUAGGAAUUGUCAAAACGGUACCAACAGCGGAGAGCAUCAUGCCCAGGUCGCUUACAUAUUUGACAUUCCAAUCUAGCAAUCCCUGUGUCUUUCUCAUCCUGCAAACUUUUUCCUGAGUUUAACAGAGGAGGAUAAGAUUUGUUGUUUUGAUACCUUUGAGAGUAUGUGGCAUAAGGUCGAAAUCCCUGAGCAGCUAUAGGAAAGACAUUCUUUUGUCUUAGAUAUUGAUCUCCUUGCCCUUGAAUUGCUGCAUCUUCUUUGUAAUUUUGAUUUCUUUCAGCAUAACCAAACCCUCGUCCUCUAUUACUGACAGUUCUGCCUCGACCAAAGCUACAGCCACCCCUAUAACUUCCUCUCUGAGCUAGAAAACCAGUAGGUUGUGAAAGAUAUUCUCCAUCAGCACUCUCUUUAGGAUACAUUUGAGACUUUCUUUGGCCGAGAUAGGCCAGACUGGGAUUAAACUGACUUCUGGAGUAAGUCUUCAUUCUUGAUUCAAAUCUCUCCAGUUGAGCUAUAACUUCAUCAUAAUCGGGUUGAGGCUUCAAACAAUAUAUGGUGGUUCGAAGAUUCUCAUAUUCUGGACCCAAUCCUUCCAGUAUACCAAAGAUUUUGGUUAUUUCAUCCACUGGUUUACCUUGCAUUCAACUGAUCACAUAUAGAUUUGUAUUCUCUGAGAUAAGUGGAGAGGGUUUGAUCAAGUUUCUAGCAGGACUGUAAUUUUCCUCUAAGUUCGAACUCCUUUGCUAUUGAUUUUUGAGUAAAUCGUUUUAGAAGAGACUGCCAUACCUCAAAGGAUGUCUCUAAACUAAUGAUUAGACUCAGAAUGUUCUCAGUAACAGCCCCACUAAUCCAUGACGAUAUCAACUGAUCUGUUCUUGUCCAAUCAACGUAAUCAGGAUUAACAAGUUCUGAGUCACAUCCUUCAUCAUCGUUUUGCAACAUUUAUGGAGGAGAGGCAACAUCACCAUUAACAAAACCAAAGAGAUCUUGACUCUUCAGAAACCUUUGAAUUUGAGCUUGCCACAACAGAAAAUUAUCUUCGGCGAGCUUAAUUGUGACAAAAUUCGAGAUGUUUAUGUGAAUUGGAAAAGGAUAUUUUGGUGUUUUUAUUGCCAUUGCCGCAAACUUCCAGUUCAAACCAAGCUAUCAGACAAACAGCCUACAGCUCUGAUACCAUGAGAAAGAUGAAGAACUCAAACAAGAUCAAGCGGUCAACUCUGAAGAUCAUUUGUAUUUCAAUAUGGUGAUUGUAUCAUUGUAACUCAGUACAAUUGAAAGGUAGAAAAAACUAAUACACUUCUUAUGUUCUAUCUUCUAAGAUCAAUCUUACUUGAUUUGCUUCAGCACUUUGGACUUGAGCUGUCAACCAUUCUUCGAAACUCUCUCUUCAAUACAAGGAUUGCUUCAGCAUUCGCUGAUGAUCUUGAUUCACUUUUCUCUAUUCUCUCACCUUCUCUGUAUUCUUUCUAUCUGUUUUCCCCCAUCGCCUCUUUAAGUAAAAGCAAAGCAGAGUAUUUAUAUUAGGGUAUGUAACAGAACUCGAUUACAAGGGAAAACCGAAUACAGCAACUACUUUAACAGAAAAACCUAAUUGACUACGCUUAUGACUUAGCGAUCCGAGUCAUUGAUUCUUUGAGCAUCUCGUUCAUUGAUUGUCGAUCCAGGCUGGUCUUCCUUAUAAGAUCUUUGCCUUUGAUUUACCCCUAUGACUAUGAC
RNAcentral lists this long non-coding RNA (5421 nucleotides) under Eucalyptus grandis. Its description in RNAcentral is "long non-coding RNA (EGRA_LNC000232)". The record is from RNAcentral. Lineage: Eukaryota; Viridiplantae; Streptophyta; Magnoliopsida; Myrtales; Myrtaceae.